Molecule: long non-coding RNA, 2107 nt
Organism: Pogona vitticeps (central bearded dragon)
Lineage: Eukaryota; Metazoa; Chordata; Lepidosauria; Squamata; Agamidae
Source: Ensembl
CUGGCUGUGGAGCCUUUGGUUGGGGGUUCGGUCCCCCACUGUGCCUGCACUGGACAAUAUGUCGGGUCCCUUCCAGUUCCCCGGUUCCAAGAUAUACAGGAAUCAUCACUUUGUCCCAGGAAAUGGGAUAACGUUCCAGGCCAUCCUGCUUGUUGUUUCUCUGUUAGGAAUCUUGCUUGUUAAUAGUGUUGACUCUGGCACCCCCUGCUGCCGUCCCGGCGCUUAAUAUGGAUGCCAAGGAUGGGCUUGUUUGUUUUCUGUAGAGGCAUCCAUCUUUCUCCCGGUUACCUCAGGCACAGAAUGUGGCAGGAUCUCCUCUCACCGGCCCAAAGGCUCAAAUUUUGGCCCCAACCCAGUUCCUGCCUCCAAAUGCAUUUCCUUCUUCGGGUGAAGCUCUGAGUGUCGGUGCCGGAACCGCAGGGUCCUUGGCUGUGCAGGCAGGAAUCUCACAGGUACGUCCUGCAGUGAAUCCGGAGGAGCCCAAGACCUCUUUUAUGGGUCUCGGGGCUUCCAGACAAGGCCUCGUUCGUAGAGCUGUAUGGGAGGCCUCGGUGGUGUGUGACUUGUGUUUGACCGUUGGCUUCCUCCUUGUUUCGGUGGCCAGAUGGAUUUUGAACAUCCUUCUCAUAACAGUCUCUUUCUUAGCAGGGCCAGUUUCCUGGUGCAGCUGUUCCUCCCCUCAGACCACACUACGGCCGGCUCUCCGACCCUGCGCUUCCCGCCGCCGUUCCUUCGGCCAGCGUGCUCAUUCCUUGGCCCCAGGCUCCUCUGUGGUUUGCCACUCCGCAGGCAGCGGUCGCUGCUGGUCAGACAGGACCGAAAUCCUUCGUUGGCAUGAUACCCAUCCCAGCAGCCGGCCUGGAUCCGGUUGUGGCAUGGACGCCAAGCGUGCUUUCCUUGAGGCAACCAAGAGAGAGAAACAAGGGCGUAAAUAGCAGCACAGCUCAUGACCCCAGGGCGGUCUCCGCCUGCGCCAAUCCCGGGACUGUUUUGGCUCCUGUCAGCUCUGGACCCUUAGCCCAGGCCGGUGCAAAUCAAAUGCAUGUGGUGGCAGGAGGAAGAAGAGACCAAGAAACGAGUGUGAUCUCAGAGCCGCCUUUCCCAACUUCACUGGGGACUGCAAACCUAUUAAUGAAAGAUGGCACCAGUUACAGCAUUCCAGGAAACCCCACUGGCAGUGUAUCAGGCUCCGGAUUUCCUUCAGAUCCUGGAGUGAGAAGAACCUGGCGCGAGGAAAUUACACUGGAGGAGCGCCACCACUUAGUACAGAAGUUGUAAGUAUAGUUCAAGGAUGCGGACCCUGCCCAUUGGGAUCAGGUGUGUCUGUGGCAUGCAUCACAGUGUGUGGGCUCUUGAGUUUUGAAGGUUGGGGCUUCGAGCAUACAGUACGAUCCUUUAUUCUCCGGAUCAAUAUCCACUGAUUCCCUUAUCCACGGUCUGAAAAUAUUAAAAAUAUUGAAAGAUCCCCAAAAAAGUAAGUAUAGUUCAAGGAUGCGGACCCUGCCCAUUGGGAUCAGGUGUGUCUGUGGCAUGCAUCACAGUGUGUGGGCUCUUGAGUUUUGAAGGUUGGGGCUUCGAGCAUACAGUACGAUCCUUUAUUCUCCGGAUCAAUAUCCACUGAUUCCCUUAUCCACGGUCUGAAAAUAUUAAAAAUAUUGAAAGAUCCCCAAAAUACUGUAUAUAUAUUUAAUGAUGAAGUUCCCAGAACUGGCCAGAAGAGGGAGCCAAAGGCCAUGCUGUGUAUACAGUAGUUUUCUAUUAAAAUAGUGUUUGCUAUAAUCCACAUUUUUCAGCAUCCACGGGGCGGGGGACUAGAAACCAAUCCCCUGAGGAUACUGGGUCAUACUAUAUUAUGAAAGGCUGAAGGGAGAUGAAGUGUGCGGUCAAGGAUUCUGAUGCUUGAGCCAUACAGGACUUUAUAGACCUCCUCUGAAAAAAAAUCAGAAGCCUGCAUUCAUCACAGUUGGCAUUUCUCAGAGUUCAGGGUUAAUCACAGAACAAAAUCAAACAAUCUCAGACAAUCCUAUCAACAUUCAUCUGAGUAUCAAAGUAUAAGUCAUCUUAUUGUUCAGUAAUUACAGGCAAUAAAGGGAGAUGAAGUGGUACA